RNAcentral lists this ribosomal RNA (3366 nucleotides) under soil metagenome. RNAcentral's name for it is "bacterial LSU rRNA". It matches the Rfam family "Bacterial large subunit ribosomal RNA". The record is from RNAcentral.
CCAAGCUACAAAGAGCCAACGGUGGAUGCCUUGGCGCCUGAAGCCGAUGAAGGACGUGGGUGGCUGCGAUAAGCCACGGGGAGCUGCCUACCAAGCUUCGAUCCGUGGAUGUCCGAAUGGGGAAACCCCGCACCCGUCAUGGGGUGUGACUCCGGUCUGAAUGCAUAGGACCGGCAGAGGGAACCGGGGGAACUGAAACAUCUCAGUACCCCGAGGAGAAGAAAGCAACAGCGACUCCCUGAGUAGCGGCGAGCGAAACGGGAUCAGCCUAAACCGGACCAGUGCUAAAGCCUGAUGGCGUUGCUGGUUCGGGGUCGUGGGACCUGGAUGAAGGGGCAUCAGACCCUUCACGGAGUUACAAAACUGCUGUUUAGUGGAAGCAUGCUGGAACGAUGCGCCAUAGCGGGUAAGAGCCCCGUACACGAAAGGCAUGCAGUCUCCGCCCAGUAAUCCCGAGUAGCGCCGGAUCCGGGAAAGCCGGUGUGAAUCUACGAGGACCACCUCGAAAGGCUAAGUACUCACAGGCGACCGAUAGUGAACUAGUACCGUGAGGGAAAGGUGAAAAGUACCCCGGGAGGGGAGUGAAAUAGUACCUGAAACCGUUGGCUUACAAACAGUCAGAGCGUCGUCGGCACUUGUUGCCGGCCGUGAUGGCGUGCCUUUUGAAGAAUGAGCCAGCGAGUUACCGUGUGUGGCGAGGUUAACCCGAUUGGGGGAGCCGGAGCGAAAGCGAGUCUGAAUGGGGCGUUCAGUCGCAUGCGGUAGACCCGAAGCCGAGUGAUCUUGCCAUGGGCAGGCUGAAGCGGGGGUAAGACCCCGUGGAGGGCCGAACCCACUCUGGUUGAAAACAGAGGGGAUGACCUGUGGUAAGGGGUGAAAGGCCAAACAAACUCGGUGAUAGCUGGUUCUCCCCGAAAUGCAUUUAGGUGCAGCGUCAGAUGUUCAGCAUCGGAGGUAGAGCACUGAAUGGGCUAGGGGGCCUACAAGCUUACUGACCCCAAUCAAACUCCGAAUGCCGAUGCUCCAGAGUCUGGCAGUGAGACCACGAGGGAUGAGCUUCGUUGGUCAAAAGGGAAACAGCCCAGACCGCCAGCUAAGGCCCCAAAUUCUAGGCUAAGUGGGAAACGAUGUGGGAACGCAGAGACAGCCAGGAGGUUGGCUUAGAAGCAGCCACCCUUGAAAGAGUGCGUAAUAGCUCACUGGUCGAGUGGUCCUGCGCGGACAAUGUAACGGGGCUCAAGCCUAGAGCCGAAGCUGCGGAUUUCCGCGUAAGCGGGAGUGGUAGGGGAGCGUCGAUCUUGCAGAGAAGCGGCGGUGGGAACCGUCGUGGAGCGUGAUCGAGUGAGAAUGCUGGCAUGAGUAGCGAGAGAGGGGUGAGAAACCCCUCCGCCGUAAGCCCAAGGGUUCCUGGGGAAGGCUAAUCCUCCCAGGGUAAGUCGGGAGCUAAGGCGAGGCCGAGAGGCGUAGUCGAUGCACAACUGGUUGAUAUUCCAGUACCACCGUGUCCGCGCCCAUCCCAAAUCGAGGGUACUAAGGGGCUGGCCUUCGGGCCGAUCCGACCGACCUUGACAAGGGAAGCGAAGGGGGGACGCAGGAGGGUAGAUGAGCCCAGGCGUUGGUUGUCCUGGGGGAAGCGAGUAGAGGGAGGUCUAGGCAAAUCCGGACCUCACAUACCUUGAGUCGUGAUCCCGAGCCGUUCUAGGCGAAGUCAUUGAGCCCAUGCUGCCGAGAAAAGCCCCUAGCGAGCUGGCACGGUGCCCGUACCCCAAACCGACACAGGUGGGCAGGUAGAGCAUACCAAGGCGAUCGGGAGAACUGUGGUUAAGGAACUCGGCAAAAUUCCUCCGUAACUUCGGGAGAAGGAGGGCCUCGUUAGGGUGAAGGACUUCGCGUCCGGAGCUCGAGGAGGUCGCAGCGAAUUGAGGGAAGCGACUGUUUACUAAAAACACAGCAGCGUGCUAAGUCGUAAGACGACGUAUACGCUGUGACGCCUGCCCGGUGCCGGAAGGUUACGGGGAAGGGUUAGUCCUUCGGGACGAAGCUCUGAACCUAAGCCCCGGUAAACGGCGGCCGUAACUAUAACGGUUAAGUACCUACUUGGCUGUUACCAAACCUGGCUAUAUGCUGGAACAUCCGAGUAUCCGGCGGUACUCGUCGGUGUUACACCCGGAAUUCAGGGUGCGAACAUGGGCAGUGAAAAUCCGACCGGUGCGGACAAUCAGCAGGAAACCUGAAAAGGGAUCCUCAGAGACUACACGCCAGGCCCGCUUGGUACCGAGCGCAAAGAGCUCGGGAAAUGCGGUGAAGAUAUAGUCCGACCCUCAUGGCGACAUGAGGAGCUGGGCAGAAAUGUCCCAGCCUCGCUCAUCGGAACCGUGAUGUAUGCGGUUGAGCGAAGUAACAACGUGCCUAAGGUAGCGAAAUUCCUUGUCGGGUAAGUUCCGACCUGCACGAAUGGCGUAACGACUUCCCUACUGUCUCAACCACAGACCCGGCGAAAUUGAAGUACGAGUAAAGAUGCUCGUUAGCUGCACCAGGACGGAAAGACCCCGUGGACCUUUACUGCAGCUUGAUGUUGAGCUUUGGUACGGAUUGUGUAGGAUAGGUGGGAGUCUGGGAAGCUCCGGCGUUAGCCGGGGUGGAGACAACGUUGAAAUACCACCCUGUUCGUACUGGGGCUCUAACCUCGGCCCGUAAUCCGGGCCAGGGACCGCGUCAGGUGGGCAGUUUGACUGGGGCGGUCGCCUCCUAAAAUGUAACGGAGGCGCCCAAAGGUUCCCUCAGGCUGGUUGGCAAUCAGCCGUCGAGUGCAAUGGCAAAAGGGAGCUUGACUGCGAGACUAACAGGUCGAGCAGGUGCGAAAGCAGGGCAUAGUGAUCCGGCGGUUGCUUGUGGAAGCGCCGUCGCUCAACGGAUAAAAGGUACCCCGGGGAUAACAGGCUCAUCUUCCCCAAGAGUCCAUAUCGACGGGAAGGUUUGGCACCUCGAUGUCGGCUCGUCGCAUCCUGGGGCUGAAGCCGGUCCCAAGGGUUGGGCUGUUCGCCCAUUAAAGCGGUACGCGAGCUGGGUUUAGAACGUAGAUAACACUGCGUCCCUAGGAAGUAAUUCCUGGGUGUUUGUCGGCUCAUAUCGGUGAAACCCUGAACUGUUACUACCGAACUGUAACUUCAGGGCAAUACCGAGGGAAGGCCAACACAAUGAGAGCGUUGGACGCGUCGUAUGUAGCAGGAUUCCUGGAUGGCGAUGGGAGUAUUCACUUCCAGCUCGUCAAGCAGCAGGAGUACAGGUUCGGGUUCUACAUCCGAGCCAGCACUUCUUUCUCGCAGAGCACGUCGGCCCGGUCUGGCCUGGAGGCAAUCCAUGGUC